GCAGCAUUGGAGUAGCAAUACUUCAGAUGGCGACCGGCGCACGGGUGAGUAACACGAAUCCAACCUGCCGCUUACUCGGGGAUAGCCUUUCGAAAGAAAGAUUAAUACCCGAUGGUAUAAAGAGUUCGCAUGUUCUCUUUAUUAAAGAAUUUCGGUAAGCGAUGGGGAUGCGUUCCAUUAGAUAGUUGGCGGGGUAACGGCCCACCAAGUCUACGAUGGAUAGGGGUUCUGAGAGGAAGGUCCCCCACAUUGGAACUGAGACACGGUCCAAACUCCUACGGGAGGCAGCAGUGAGGAAUAUUGGUCAAUGGACGAGAGUCUGAACCAGCCAAGUAGCGUGAAGGAUGACUGCCCUAUGGGUUGUAAACUUCUUUUAUAAGGGAAUAAAGUGAGGGACGUGUCCCUUUUUGUAUGUACCUUAUGAAUAAGGAUCGGCUAACUCCGUGCCAGCAGCCGCGGUAAUACGGAGGAUCCAAGCGUUAUCCGGAUUUAUUGGGUUUAAAGGGAGCGUAGGUUGACAUAUAAGUCAGCUGUGAAAGUUUACGGCUCAACCGUGAAAUUGCAGUUGAUACUGUAUGUCUUGGGUGUACAAGAGGUGGGCGGAAUUCGUGGUGUAGCGGUGAAAUGCUUAGAUAUUACGAAGAACUCCAAUUGCGAAGGCAGCUCACUGGGGUACAACUGACACUGAGGCUCGAAAGUGUGGGUAUCAAACAGGAUUAGAUACCCUGGUAGUCCACACAGUAAACGAUGAAUACUCGCUGUUUGCGAUAUACAGUAAGCGGCCAAGCGAAAGCAUUAAGUAUUCCACCUGGGGAGUA
Molecule: ribosomal RNA, 818 nt
Filed under: uncultured Bacteroides sp.
Lineage: Bacteria; Pseudomonadati; Bacteroidota; Bacteroidia; Bacteroidales; Bacteroidaceae
Description: bacterial SSU rRNA
Rfam family: Bacterial small subunit ribosomal RNA
Source: RNAcentral